Molecule: ribosomal RNA, 533 nt
Filed under: uncultured archaeon
Lineage: Archaea
Description: bacterial SSU rRNA
Rfam family: Archaeal small subunit ribosomal RNA
Source: RNAcentral
AAACUUUGCAAUGUGCGAAAGCACGACAAGGUUAAUCCGAGUGGUUUCUGCUAAAGGAACCUUUUGUUAGUCCUAGAAACACUAACGAAUAAGGGGUGGGCAAGUUCUGGUGUCAGCCGCCGCGGUAAAACCAGCACCUCAAGUGGUCAGGAUGAUUAUUGGGCCUAAAGCAUCCGUAGCCUGCUCUGUAAGUUUUCGGUUAAAUCUGUACGCUCAACGUACAGGCUGCCGGGAAUACUGCAGAGCUAGGGAGUGGGAGAGGUAGACGGUACUCGGGAGGAAGUGGUAAAAUGCUUUGAUCUCUCGAUGACCACCUGUGGCGAAGGCGGUCUACCAGAACACGUCCGACGGUGAGGGAUGAAAGCUGGGGGAGCAAACCGGAUUAGAUACCCGGGUAGUCCCAGCUGUAAACUAUGCAAACUCAGUGAUGCAUUGGCUUGUGGCCAAUGCAGUGUUGCAGGGAAGCCGUUAAGUUUGCCGCCUGGGAAGUACGUACGCAAGUAUGAAACUUAAAGGAAUUGGCGGGGGAGCAC